Long non-coding RNA from Grammomys surdaster, 564 nucleotides. RefSeq lists it as uncharacterized. The transcript has 3 exons. The record is from RefSeq and is a predicted model, not a curated record. Lineage: Eukaryota; Metazoa; Chordata; Mammalia; Rodentia; Muridae.
UAUCUGUUGGGCUCUCGGUUUGUUCUGGUUCUUAUCCUAGUUGAGAGCUGAGCCUGGGGGCAUAGGACUGUGAGCCCAGCUACUGGGAUUCUGAGGCAGGAGGACACGAAAGCUCAAAGCCAGCCUGGGAAAUUUCCUGAGACUCUGAAGUGGACUUUCAUUGCCGUAGUUGUGAUGGCUAGUCAUGAUGGUCAACCUAAUACCUUGGGAAGCGUGAAUCUCAUUUAAAGAACGGACUCCAUCAGCUUGGCCUCUCUCCAGAAAGCUUCCUCUUGCUCACCGGUUCUCACUAGUUAAAAGCUGGAGCAAAUGGAGCUGACUUGGCCCCUGUAGACUUCUCCUGACAUACUUGAUUUCACAUACUUGAUAUCUCAGGGGACUGUUCACUGGUCCAGAUUUACCUGGUCUAGGUGAGUGUGAGAGUGAAGAAUAUCAAAACUACGUGUUCCCCCAUGGUUGUCCCUGACUCCGUCUUUGGAAUUCUUGUUCCUCUGCCCCAGUUCCAUGAUUCACAACUAGUUACUACUAUGUCUGGUUCUGGGGUUCUCCUCGAAUUUGUCUUGA